This 253-nucleotide ribosomal RNA is filed under the name uncultured bacterium. RNAcentral's name for it is "partial 16S ribosomal RNA". It matches the Rfam family "Bacterial small subunit ribosomal RNA", at positions 524 to 776 of the family's 1533-position model. The record is from RNAcentral.
UACGUAGGGUGCAAGCGUUGUCCGGAAUUAUUGGGCGUAAAGAGCUCGUAGGCGGUCUGUCGCGUCGGCUGUGAAAACCCGGGGCUCAACCCCGGGCCUGCAGUCGAUACGGGCAGACUAGAGUGCGGUAGGGGAGACUGGAAUUCCUGGUGUAGCGGUGAAAUGCGCAGAUAUCAGGAAGAACACCGAUGGCGAAGGCAGUUCUCUGGGCCGUAACUGACGCUGAGGAGCGAAAGCGUGGGGAGCGAACAGG